AUACGUAGGUGGCAAGCGUUGUCCGGAUUUACUGGGCGUAAAGGGAGCGUAGGCGGACCUUUAAGUGAGAUGUGAAAUACCCCGAGCUCAACUUGGGUGCUGCAUUUCAAACUGGAGGUCUAGAGUGUCGGAGAGGUAAGCGGAAUUCCUAGUGUAGCGGUGAAAUGCGUAGAGAUUAGGAAGAACCCCGGUGGCGAAGGCGGCUUACUGGACGAUAACUGACGCUGAGGCUCGAAAGCGUGGGGAGC
RNAcentral lists this ribosomal RNA (248 nucleotides) under uncultured bacterium. RNAcentral describes it as "partial 16S ribosomal RNA". It matches the Rfam family "Bacterial small subunit ribosomal RNA", at positions 523 to 769 of the family's 1533-position model. The record is from RNAcentral.